Alligator sinensis (Chinese alligator) is the source of this 2370-nucleotide long non-coding RNA. RefSeq lists it as uncharacterized. Lineage: Eukaryota; Metazoa; Chordata; Crocodylia; Alligatoridae. The record is from RefSeq and is a predicted model, not a curated record. The transcript has 3 exons.
UUAGGAGUAGGAGAUCUGCUAGGGGAGAAACAGGGUUAACUCAGGUAAGCUAUGGGGGUGAACCAGGCCUGGAAAUAUCGUUGGUGAGGCAGGUGGUGGGCAAUUAAAAGUAGGCCUUGAUGGGAGGCAGUAAAACUGUCUUCUGCAUCAAAGGCUGCAGUUAGGCUGGACCUAUGGCACCCUGGGAUGCAGGGAGAGAGAGCAAGAACAGCUGGGUUUGGCUGAGAUGUAGGUGGCUGGGCCUGUGGAUAGGACUUGGGGCGGGGGGCAACUAGGAGGUUAGCGGGGUGUAGGCACAGGUUACUGGAACAGAGAGGGGAGAUCUGAGAGACCUAGUCUGAGAUGUAAGCUGAGAUCAGGAGCCAGGGGUCAGAAAACUAGUGCUGAGUUUCAAGGAAAAUGUGAGAUCAGGGUCCGGAAACCAAGCUGAGUCAGGAUGCCAGGAAAAGCAGAGAGAGCAGAGCCAGUUCCCAGUUUCAGGGAAGAUCUUGGAUUAGAGUUGGGAAAAGCUAAAGCAGUCAGGAGAACCAGGGAGAGCUGUGAACACAAGGGUUGCUGGACCACUGUGGCUGCGUGACGGUGCGUGUCUGAGGCUGUAGGUGUGUUUAGAAAGGGCAAGUGGUGCUUUCAGCAAACAAGCUGGCUGCAGAGAACUGGGUUAGCCAUAUUCCUCAAGGAUCGGGGGCUCAUGUGCUUGGCCCAGUCAAGCCUGCUUGAUCAGAGACACUAGGGGCCGCAGCGAGGGUGUCGUCGCAAGACUGCAACGUGUCUGUUAUUGGAAAACAGGGCUGUACAACUGGUGGUCCACAGGCCAUGUGUGGUCUGUGACAGGGUAAGCUGUUGCCCUGGGCUCCUGCCUAGCUGACACUUCCCUCAUCACCCCCCAACAUCGCUUCAGCUUAAGCAGCAGCCAGUAUCCACUCCAGGCUUCCCCUCUGCCUCCAGCAUAUGCUUCCUAUCUCUGCUGCAGGGGCCAGGGCAUUGAAGCACGGGCCUGAGAGCUGAGGGGGAGGUUCGGGGCAUGGCGCAGCAGCUGGGGGAGGGGGCACUGGCAUAAAGUGCAGUGGUACCCAAGUGGGAGCACAGUUUGGAGGGGGUGGGCCCUUCGUGCAACCUGCACAGAGUGUAGCCCUGCUGGUGGGGCUCCCAGCCACUUCCAAGUUGGACAGUCCUUUUGUAAAGGGCAAUGCAUGCAACAGAAGGCAAUACACUAAAAAAACCUGACCCUGAAGGAAACAUUUCAGUUGCUGACUGGCAAGUAUUCAAACUCUCUAUGCUGCAAGGACAUCCCACUUUUCUAUCUCAUGGAACCUAUUGUUUUACCUUACUGCUUUUCAAUGCGUUUCUAAAACUGGCAGGCAAGAGAUGUCCACAAAAGACAUGUAGAAAUCCCAUAUUGACUUGUGUGGAAUGAGUAGCUGCUGGAGCUAGGUGAAAUUUUUCAAACGUUGUGUGAUAUACAAGUUCAGAAGGGGACAGAACCGUAUGAGGAAGGCCAAGCCCAAAGAGGAAGCAUGAAUAUUGAAACCUAAAUCGAAAAUGGAGCCCAAUUUGUCUGUUAGCAGUUUUGCCUGAAAAAUGCCCUGGCAUUUAUCAAUUAUAUGAAAGUCUGAGCAUGACGCACGCACUAAGAACGAAAUGCCACUUUCAACAUAUGAUCUGGCUGGUGCCGUUUCCAUUUUAUUAUUGCAUUACAGUAGAAUUCAGUGUGUUUAUACCUGUAAAUGUAAAUACAUAGUGAGAGCAGUACUGCCAACCCUACAUUGCAAAAUACAGCAAUAAGAAAUGAUUAUUAAAUAAAACUGUUGUUUGGCAGUUGCACCCCCACCUCCACCUUUGAUUCCUGCUCCACCCAAAGUUAAAAGUCAACUGCCUGGCAGUGGCAUUAGCAUGUCUAUUCGGGCAGUGCUGAGUCAUUUGACUUCAUGGCUCAUUAUAAUUUACCUGAUUCCUUCUAAACUUUUUAUUCAACAGGUAUUAAUGGUCCUCUUUUUUUUAAUGGUCUUGAUGUUCCACCAGUUAAGCUUCCUUUGUUUUGCAGUUCUGCUGGCUGUUAGCUGCUCCUGUUAACGUAGCUCCUAUUUCACAGCCCUGCAGACUGUCUUUAACUCAUUGCAAUGAAACUAUAUUUGUUUUUGCUUCAAUCUUAAACUGAAUAAUACAGCCCUGCUCCCCUGAUAUAUUAGCAAAGCUUCUAGUUUCUCUUUAAUUGGAGAAAAUGGGAUGGGAUGAUGCACCUCACCAUUUGCAUCCCCCUCUUUAAAAUUCUAGAUCCACCCAUGAAUGGAUCCAGCAUAUGUUGUGAUACAAGUCAGUUAAAGGUUAGUACCUCAGCCAGUGUCACAGGAAAGUGUUCUCUGGCUUAAAUAG